This 601-nucleotide long non-coding RNA is filed under the name Vulpes vulpes (red fox). RNAcentral's name for it is "lncRNA (ENSVVUG00000010339.1)". Lineage: Eukaryota; Metazoa; Chordata; Mammalia; Carnivora; Canidae. The record is from RNAcentral.
GGGAGAGAAAAUGGUGAGGGGGAAAGGAAAGACGUGAAGAUCGCUUGCUGCCUCAAGACCAUGGAAGAUGCUCCAAGUGCUUCAUAGGUUUUGAGGGUUAGGUAAGCCGGAGGGCUACACACAGUCGGGGCCUUGGGGGACAGAGACGGGCAUCUGUGAACUCCAAGAAAGGCAAGGCCGGACCAGAUCACCAGGCAGCCUGGAAAGACUUGCCGCAGAACCCCCAAAAAACUCCCAUUCUCGUCUUCAUCCUCCCAAGGGAUGGCAACAGUCUUUUUUACCCACUGAAGGAAUGUUGGAGUUUGCCGUGGUGGAGCACUUAGCAGCUUGAGGUCUGGGAGAGAAAACGUCGUCACGUGUACUGGGGUGACCAAUACUCUUAAGGCUUCCACAACGGCACUUCACUGGUCCAUCCACGAGAACCUCUGGCAGCACUCCCAAGAAGCACCAUUACAGACUUUGCAGAUUUGGAGAUGGCCAACUUUCACUUGGCGAUGUCCAGAGGCUAGUGUGCCUCGGAGCUCCACACGGGGUACAAUUGGCGGAAAGGGUAACCGGUAUUCUCAAUUAAAGUGAAGUAUUUGAAUGAAUGACACCAAAU